This 442-nucleotide ribosomal RNA is filed under the name uncultured Parabacteroides sp. Its description in RNAcentral is "bacterial SSU rRNA". It matches the Rfam family "Bacterial small subunit ribosomal RNA", at positions 338 to 777 of the family's 1533-position model. Lineage: Bacteria; Pseudomonadati; Bacteroidota; Bacteroidia; Bacteroidales; Tannerellaceae. The record is from RNAcentral.
CCUACGGGGGGCAGCAGUGAGGAAUAUUGGUCAAUGGGCGAGAGCCUGAACCAGCCAAGUCGCGUGAAGGAAGAAGGAUCUAUGGUUCGUAAACUUCUUUUGCAGGGGAAUAAAGUGCAGGACGUGUCCUGUUUUGUAUGUACCCUGAGAAUAAGGAUCGGCUAACUCCGUGCCAGCAGCCGCGGUAAUACGGAGGAUCCGAGCGUUAUCCGGAUUUAUUGGGUUUAAAGGGUGCGUAGGUGGUUUGAUAAGUCAGCGGUGAAAGUUUGCAGCUUAACUGUAAAAAUGCCGUUGAAACUGUCGGACUUGAGUGUAAAUGAGGUAGGCGGAAUGCGUGGUGUAGCGGUGAAAUGCAUAGAUAUCACGCAGAACUCCGAUUGCGAAGGCAGCUUACUAAGCUACAACUGACACUGAAGCACGAAAGCGUGGGGAUCAAACAGGA